Molecule: transfer RNA, 79 nt
Filed under: Stutzerimonas nitrititolerans
Lineage: Bacteria; Pseudomonadati; Pseudomonadota; Gammaproteobacteria; Pseudomonadales; Pseudomonadaceae
Description: tRNA-OTHER
Source: RNAcentral
GGGCCCGUCGCCCAGACGGAAGGGCUGCGGCGCUUCGUCAUGUAACCGGCGAGUCGGUGGUUCGAUCCGCUCGGGCUCG